This 786-nucleotide ribosomal RNA is filed under the name uncultured bacterium. Its description in RNAcentral is "bacterial SSU rRNA". It matches the Rfam family "Bacterial small subunit ribosomal RNA", at positions 8 to 796 of the family's 1533-position model. The record is from RNAcentral.
AGAGUUUGAUCCUGGCUCAGAACGAACGCUGGCGGCGUGCUUAACACAUGCAAGUCGAGUGCGCGUCCGUAGCAAUACGGAUGGCGCACGGCGCACGGGUGCGUAACACGUGGGCAAUCUGCCCUUCGAUGGGGAAUAACUCCGGGAAACCGAAGCUAAUUCCGCAUAACAUUCCUUGGACCUCGGUUCGAGGACUCAAAGCCGUAAGUCGUCGGAGGAGGAGCCCGCGCACGAUUAGCUAGUUGGUAGGGUAAUGGCCUACCAAGGCUUUGAUCGUUAGCUGGUCUGAGAGGAUGGCCAGCCACACUGGAACUGAGACACGGUCCAGACUCCUACGGGAGGCAGCAGUGGGGAAUCUUGCACAAUGGGCGAAAGCCUGAUGCAGCGACGCCGCGUGGGGGAUGAAGCAUUUCGGUGUGUAAACCCCUUUCGAUCCGGACGAAUGCCUCGCAAGAGGAGUGACGGUACGGAUAUAAGAAGCCCCGGCUAACUACGUGCCAGCAGCCGCGGUAAGACGUAGGGGGCCAGCGUUGUUCGGAAUUACUGGGUGUAAAGGGUUCGUAGGCGGUGUGGCAAGUUGGGUGUGAAAUCUCUGGGCUCAACCCAGAGACUGCUUCCAAAACUGCUGUGCUUGAGUGUGAGAGAGGCUCGUGGAAUUGCAGGUGUAGCGGUGAAAUGCGUAGAUAUCUGCAGGAACACCCGUGGCGAAAGCGGCGAGCUGGAUCACUACUGACGCUGAGGAACGAAAGCUAGGGGAGCAAACAGGAUUAGAUACCCUAGUAGUCC